GACUGAAAAUGUCAAGAAAGAUUCAGUGAGAAUCUUAUGUAAAGAAUCAACAAGUGAAGUCGAAAGAGAAGUUCGACAAGAAGAAGUCAGAGGUCAAGCAAGCACAAGAAGACCUCAAAGAACAAGACAAAUUCCUGCAAGGUUGCAAGAAUGUGUGAUUACAUCAGAUGAUGUGGUCGUGAUGAAGGUGGGCUGGUACAUUAUGAUUUUU
This 211-nucleotide long non-coding RNA is filed under the name Lathyrus oleraceus (garden pea). RNAcentral describes it as "Pisum sativum (pea) long non-coding RNA (PSAT_LNC013319)". Lineage: Eukaryota; Viridiplantae; Streptophyta; Magnoliopsida; Fabales; Fabaceae. The record is from RNAcentral.